GACGAACCGUGCGAACGUUGUUCGGAAUCACUGGGCUUAAAGGGCGCGUAGGUGGGCUCACAAGUCAGGGGUGAAAUCCCACGGCUCAACCGUGGAAGUGCCUUUGAUACUGUGGGUCUUGAGGGAGGUAGGGGCGUGCGGAACUUCCGGUGGAGCGGUGAAAUGCGUAGAUAUCGGAAGGAACACCGGUGGCGAAAGCGGCGCGCUGGACCUCUACUGACGCUGAGGCGCGAAAGCCAGGGGAGCAAACGGG
This 253-nucleotide ribosomal RNA is filed under the name uncultured bacterium. RNAcentral's name for it is "partial 16S ribosomal RNA". It matches the Rfam family "Bacterial small subunit ribosomal RNA", at positions 524 to 776 of the family's 1533-position model. The record is from RNAcentral.